GCUCUCGAAGGCGUCCUCCACGCAGCGGAACACGCAGCCGAGCUUGGGCCGGGCCAGAGGCCUCGCGGGCUCCUGAGGCUGCCGCGCGGUCAUGGCAGGAGCGGGCGACAGGAUCCGGUCUCGGAGCCUCCUGUAGCGAGCCACAGGAGGGAGCCUCCCCGGUGGUCGACCGGAGCCAGGUGCUGCCAGGCACCCGACUGCAGAGCUUGCCCUCCAGGUGAUCUCGCAGUACCGGUGUUCACAAGCCCUGUAAGGCACUCGGGGUAUCCUGAAGGCUACAGAUUCUGCGAGGGCAGAGACUUUAAGGAACAGCCAUAGUCCUUCUCCAGCUCAAAAUCUAGACCAUGGGCACAAGGUAAACACCACACUGGUAUCAACAAAGGGAUCUGCUAUUUAUGUGGAUUUUUACCUUAGACAAACUAAAGUAUCUAUGUUGUUCUGUGUGUUGAACACAGAGUGUGAUGAUGUUAAUACAAUAUAAUG
This 483-nucleotide non-coding RNA is filed under the name Pongo abelii (Sumatran orangutan). The record is from RNAcentral. Lineage: Eukaryota; Metazoa; Chordata; Mammalia; Primates; Hominidae.